Pongo abelii (Sumatran orangutan) is the source of this 148-nucleotide unclassified non-coding RNA. It matches the Rfam family "Metazoan signal recognition particle RNA". From Rfam's summary of the family: The signal recognition particle (SRP) is a universally conserved ribonucleoprotein. It is involved in the co-translational targeting of proteins to membranes. NCBI's taxonomy places the organism in Eukaryota, Metazoa, Chordata, Mammalia, Primates, Hominidae. The record is from Ensembl.
GCCGGGCAUGGUGGUGUGUGCCUAUAAUCCCAGCUACUUGGGAGGCUGAGGCAGGAGAAUUGCUUGAACCCGGGAGGCAGAGGUUGCAGUGAGCCGAGAUCGCACCACUGCAUUCUAGCCUGGGCAACAGAGCAAGACUCUGUCUCAG